AUGUGUGAAUGCUUUCUUCAGUCUGAUAAGGAACCAAUAACUCAUGGUAUACUAGGAUUUUCUCCAUACUUUAGCACUUCCGCACUGAGAAUAAAGCAAGUACUUUCACAACAAAGGUUGUUACCUCCAGGGUUUUUUGCCACCUAUAAUCCUUUCAGCAUUAGGGACUGCCCAAUUGGUUCUGGACAAUACAACAAAAGAAAUGUGCAAGAGAGCUUUAUGCCCACAAAUAAUAUUUCAGGCUGCUCCUUUUUAAUGACAGAGAUUCACACUGCCAUUCACAGAAUGAAUAUAGUUCCUAAGAAGUAUGCUCUUUUAUCUAAUUAUAUGUACAUCAAUUAA
This 342-nucleotide ribosomal RNA is filed under the name Triticum aestivum (bread wheat). Its description in RNAcentral is "partial small subunit ribosomal RNA". Lineage: Eukaryota; Viridiplantae; Streptophyta; Magnoliopsida; Poales; Poaceae. The record is from RNAcentral.